AUGCACGCUGGCGGCGUGCCUAAUCCAUGCAAGUCGAGCGAACAGACGAGGAGCUUGCUCCUUUGACGUUAGCGGCGGACGGGUGAGUAACACGUAGGUAACCUACCUAUAAGACUGGGAUAACUUCGGGAAACCGGAGCUAAUACCGGAUAAUAUUUCGAACCGCAUGGUUCGAUAGUGAAAGAUGGCUUUGCUAUCACUUAUAGAUGGACCUGCGCCGUAUUAGCUAGUUGGUAAGGUAACGGCUUACCAAGGCAACGAUACGUAGCCGACCUGAGAGGGUGAUCGGCCACACUGGAACUGAGACACGGUCCAGACUCCUACGGGAGGCAGCAGUAGGGAAUCUUCCGCAAUGGGCGAAAGCCUGACGGAGCAACGCCGCGUGAGUGAUGAAGGUCUUCGGAUCGUAAAACUCUGUUAUUAGGGAAGAACAAACGUGUAAGUAACUGUGCACGUCUUGACGGUACCUAAUCAGAAAGCCACGGCUAACUACGUG
RNAcentral lists this ribosomal RNA (496 nucleotides) under uncultured bacterium. RNAcentral describes it as "partial 16S ribosomal RNA". It matches the Rfam family "Bacterial small subunit ribosomal RNA", at positions 29 to 507 of the family's 1533-position model. The record is from RNAcentral.